UGAAUCCGUCGAUAAACCCCUUAUCCUCUCAAAACUUCACCUACUGCUCUUCUUUUUCCUUUUUUCGCCUCUCCAGAUAUUGAGGUAACCACAACGAAGAUCCUCUCUUUUCUCUCUUUUCACCAAUCUUAACAAACACCUUUUUUUCUUUCACAUCUUCAUCAUCAUCAUCGUAAUCGACGUGGACGGAUCGUAGUCGACAUAAACUGGUUCUGUUGAAGUUUAUUUAUGAUGGAAAAUGGGGAGGAAAGAUUUGGCAAGGCCCAAAUGGACGACUGGAAUGGUGUAGUAGAUGAAACUGUUGAAGUGCGGCCGGAGGAUAAGGUAGCUGUGGUGUCACAUGUAUCAAAGGAAUCGGAAGGGGAUGAAGUAUUUGAGGAGGCAAUUGAGCCAGAAUCUCCUGGUUUUGCUGUUGAGGAUGUAGUUGCUAGUGAGGGAAGAAAUGAUGGCAACUCUGGGGAUAUUAAUAAUUCUAUUGAGGACAGUAGGAACUCUGAGUCAAGGGACAAUGUUGAGAACUUUGAGGAAGCAGUUGAAGUUUUACAUGAGAUACAGCAUGCCUAUGAUGAGUCUAAUCAGAAGACGGAUGUUAUCUUGAAAGAGGAGCCUUCAGUUGAGAAGGAAAGUUGUCAUGAAAUCGCUGCACCGGAUGAAACAGAAGUGGUUGAGAAGAAUAUCAAAGUAGGGAAGGGCAAAGAUGACAUGUCUGAGGUUGCAGAUCUGGGUGCUGUUAUAGAAACUGAAACUUCAGUGAAUUGGGAUGAAAGGAAAGAUAAUUCUGGCGAACCAACUGAAUUUGAGAAUGGAGUUUUCAAUCAUGUGAACUUGGGAGAAACUCAAAGUGAUGAUGAUGCAAAGAAAACAAAUUCUGAUCAACAGGAUCAAGAGGUUUAUGGAAAAUUGGAUGCUCAGGAUGCCGAUGAAGCGAAAGCGGGUAAUAAUGUUCUGCAGAACCAGGUUCAUUCAUACAAAGAUGCAUUGCUGCAUGACGAAAAGAAUGUUGAUGUGAUUGAAACAUCUGCUGUUCAGCCUGCUGGACAUCAGGACACUGCUGACGUCCACAACAAUGUCUCAGUUAGUUCUGGCUCUGUGCUGAAACAUGAAGGAGAUACCGAAUGGGAAGGAGUGCUUAAAUCUCUGGAUUCUGAUGUUAAGGAUGAAGAGCAGAAAUAUAUUUCUCUUAAUGAUGCUUCCACAAAUGGUCACCUCAGUGAAAGCUUGAACCCAAGUGAUGAACUCAAAGAAGAAGCAGGGCCUAGUCCAGAAAGGAUUAAUGGUUAUAAUAUGAAUGAAGAGCAGAUAGAUGUAGAAAGAACAGUGCCUAGUCCAGAACUAGUUAACAAGGAUGAGGAGCAGCAGAUAGAUGGAGUAAAAGCAGUGCAUAGUCCAGAACUCGUUAAUGGAAGUAAUAAGGAUGAAGAGCAGCAGAUAGAUGGAGUAAAAGCCAUUAGUCCAGAACCAGUCAACGGUAGUAAUAAAGUUGAAGGGCAGCAGUUAGAUGGAGAAAAGGCCGUGUGUAGUCCAGAACCAAUUAACUGUACUAAUAAGGAUGAACAGCAGAUAGAUGGUCAAGACAACGACUCUGUUUCUAUUCUACAAGGAGGUCACUUCCCCUUAAAGGCAGAAGUGACAGAAAAAGAAUCAACUGGUCCAGAACUAAUGGGUGAUGCUUCUGAUCAUCAAGGACUGAAAUUAAAUGAGUCCCCUACUAUGGAACCAGGAAAUUUGAAUGACAGGACCAAUGAGCAGAAAGAUGUUUCCGUUUCUGACUCUUCAGCUUCUUUGAACCAUUCCGGAAUUUCAGUUAGGGGUAAAGUGACUGCAGAUGAUGAAAUGUCUAAAUCAUCAGAAGCAUUGCCCUCUGACAAUAAUGAGAAGGUCUCGAAGGUUUCUCAAGAUGCAGUUGUUGGAGUUGAUAAAGUUGUAGAGAAGGAAUCGGUUGAUAAAGUUAUAGAGAAGGAACCGGUGUCAGUUGUUGUAAAGGACCUGAAGCAAAGUGUUCCUAGGGUUAGGGAAUCUGAAGCCAGAUCUGCAACGGAGCAUCCAUCAUCUUCCAAUGCAUCUGCAACUCGGAUACCGGCACCUGCCGGCCUUGGUCGUGCUGCCCCACUAUUGGAACCUGCUCCCCGAGUGGUUCAGCAGCCUCGUGUAAAUGGAACAGCAUCUCCAGCACAAAACCAGCUUGUUGAAGAAUCUACAAAUGGAGAGGCUGAUGAAUAUGAUGAGACACGUGAGAAGCUCCAGAUGAUAAGAGUCAAGUUUUUGCGUCUAGCUCAUCGGAAUGGACAGACUCCACAUAAUGUGGUUGUUGCCCAAGUCUUGUAUAGAUUGGGAUUGGCUGAACAGCUGCGGGGGAGAAGUGGAGGUCGUGUUGGUGCUUUUAGUUUUGAUCGUGCAAGUGCUAUGGCCGAGCAACUCGAGGCAGCUGGACAAGAACCCCUGGACUUCUCUUGCACAAUAAUGGUUCUUGGAAAAACUGGUGUUGGUAAAAGUGCAACCAUAAAUUCGAUAUUUGAUGAAGUUAAGUUUGACACUGAUGCUUUCCAGGUAGGGACAAAAAAGGUUCAGGAUGUUGUUGGCACUGUGCAGGGAAUCAAGGUUCGGGUGAUUGACACUCCUGGGCUUCUUCCUUCCUGGUCAGACCAGCGCCAGAAUGAGAAGAUCCUUCAUUCUGUCAAACGGUUUAUUAAGAAGACACCCCCAGAUAUUGUUCUGUAUCUUGACAGGUUGGAUAUGCAGAGCAGAGAUAAUGGUGAUAUGCCAUUGUUGAGGACAAUUACUGAAAUUUUCGGACCAUCAAUAUGGUUUAAUGCCAUAGUUGUUCUGACACAUGCUGCGUCUGCUCCACCUGAAGGCCCCAAUGGUACUGUAACAAGCUAUGACAUGUUUGUAACUCAGCGCUCUCAUGUUGUCCAGCAAGCUAUACGUCAGGCUGCUGGAGAUAUGCGCCUUAUGAAUCCUGUUUCGCUAGUUGAGAAUCACUCAGCAUGCAGGACUAACAGGGCUGGACAGAGGGUGCUGCCUAAUGGACAGGUUUGGAGGCCUCACUUGUUACUUCUGUCAUUUGCAUCAAAAAUUUUGGCUGAAGCAAACACAUUGCUUAAAUUACAAGAUAGUAGCGCACCAGGACAGCCUUAUGCCACUAGAACAAGAUCUCCUCCUUUACCUUUCCUAUUGUCAUCCCUUCUACAGUCAAGGCCACAGGUUAAACUACCAGCAGAACAAUUUGAUGAUGAUGAUGAGGCUUUAGAUGAUGAUCUGGAUGAGUCUUCAGAGUCGGAAGAUGAAUCAGAAUAUGAUCAACUGCCACCUUUCAAGCGCUUGACCAAAGCACAGCUAGCAAAGUUGUCCAAAGAGCAGAAGAAGGCCUACAAUGAUGAGUUAGAAUACAGGGAAAAGCUUUAUAUGAAAAAGCAGUUGAAGGAAGAGAGGAAGAGGCGGAAGAUGAUGAAGAAAAUGCAAGCUGCGGCUGAAAGUUUACCACCAACUGAUCCCAGCGAAAAUGUAGAUGAAGAGACUGGUGGUGCAUCAUCAGUGCCAGUACCCAUGCCAGACUUGGCGUUACCUGCUUCAUUUGAUUCUGAUAAUCCAACUCAUAGAUAUCGAUAUCUGGAUUCUUCAAAUCAGUGGCUUGUGAGGCCUGUUCUAGAACCCAACGGUUGGGACCAUGAUGUUGGUUAUGAGGGCAUCAACGUAGAAAGAUUGUUUGUUGUCAAAGACAAGAUCCCUAUAUCUUUGUCCAGUCAGGUUUCAAAGGACAAAAAGGACACCAAUCUUCAAAUGGAAAUUGCAAGUUCAGUGAAGCAUGGGCAUGGAAAAGCAACUUCUUUAGGUUUUGAUAUGCAGUCAGUUGGUAAAGACCUAGCUUAUACUCUUCGCAGUGAGACCAGAUUCUGCAAUUAUAGGAAGAAUAAGGCGACAGCUGGUCUUUCAGUAACUCUCUUAGGUGACGUCAUGACAGGUGGGGUGAAAAUUGAGGACAGGUUAACUUUUAAUAGACGGGGAUCUUUGGUUGUGUCUGGGGGAGCCAUGUUUGGCCGUGGUGAUGCUGCUUAUGGUGGUAGUUUGGAAGCGACAUUGCGAGACAAAGAUCAUCCUCUUGGUCGUUUCCUCUCAACCUUGGGCCUCUCGGUUAUGGACUGGCAUGGAGAUCUUGCUAUCGGAUGCAAUUCACAAACGCAGAUACCUAUUGGACGAUACACAAACUUGAUUGGCCGUGUCAACAUUAACAAUAAAGGAUCUGGACAAGUCAGUAUCCGUUUGAACAGCUCAGAACAGCUUCAGAUUGCUUUGAUAAGCUUAAUUCCACUUGUCAGAAAGCUGAUUAGCUACUCUCAACCAGCACAAUAUGGAUGAUGAUGAAACUAAGGCCAGACAGCUCCAUACAACCAUUUAGUGACUUACAAAUCACUUCUUAGUGGCCAUUAGCUGAUCGGCAUCACUGAACAUUAUAAUCUUUGGUAAAGAAACCUUAGGUGCAUCAAGAUAAUGAUGCUGGUAAAAGUUCUAUGCAAUAAAGAAGAUUUAGAAGGGGGAGAAGAUGGAAAAACCCUUUUACCUGUUUCUGUUCCCAUAAUAGUGCAUGACGUGAUCUAUUAAAAAAUUUCUACUCUCAUGUCCAUAACCUCUGGUGACAAUCAUAUAUAGAAAGAAUGGAUGCCAAAAGUUGAAAGCAUUUUUUAUGUUUCUGUCUAGAAACAUCCUUUUCCAAUCUGAUGAAGAACCUCUGUAUUGAUGGUGGAUAAAUUCUACUGUUCAAAUAUUUGCUCAAAUGUCUUAUUCUAUGUUGGAGAAUGGUGAAAUUGAUAUUCAGAAUUCCAUCAGUUACCUAAAAAUUUGUCCUACUGUGGUUAAGACUAGUACCUAGUGGAGUUGAUUGUAAAACAACUUGUCUUAUAGAUAUAACCUGUAUCAAAUGAUUGUGCAAUGGGCAGAAGUUCUUUGUGGGCAUGCAAAGUAUGCAAAUAAUUUGCUUUAAAUUGAUCAAGCCCAAUUCCGAUUAGUAAUGCUGCAGGGUUGUACUACCAUUUUGUUCUUCGCACCAGCUAAUUCAGGUCUGCAUUUAGUAAUGCUGAACAAUUAGACAACUGAAUGUUCAUCUAAUUGGAGUGAGAUCUGGAUUAAUUUAUAUGAAGUUUAUUAUUUA
Molecule: RNA transcript, 5146 nt
Organism: Solanum pennellii
Lineage: Eukaryota; Viridiplantae; Streptophyta; Magnoliopsida; Solanales; Solanaceae
Gene name: translocase of chloroplast 120, chloroplastic
Exons: 3
Source: RefSeq, a predicted model, not a curated record